This 253-nucleotide ribosomal RNA is filed under the name uncultured bacterium. RNAcentral describes it as "partial 16S ribosomal RNA". It matches the Rfam family "Bacterial small subunit ribosomal RNA", at positions 524 to 776 of the family's 1533-position model. The record is from RNAcentral.
GACGAACCGAGCGAACGUUGUUCGGAAUCACUGGGCUUAAAGGGCUCGUAGGCGGGCUGUCAAGUCUGGGGUGAAAUCCCACGGCUCAACCGUGGAACUGCCUUAGAUACUGACGGCCUCGAGGGAGAUAGGGGCGAGCGGAACUGUGAGUGGAGCGGUGAAAUGCGUUGAUAUUCACAGGAACUCCGGUGGCGAAGGCGGCUCGCUGGAUCUUUUCUGACGCUGAGGCGCGAAAGCUAGGGGAGCAAACGGG